Molecule: ribosomal RNA, 253 nt
Filed under: uncultured bacterium
Lineage: Bacteria
Description: partial 16S ribosomal RNA
Rfam family: Bacterial small subunit ribosomal RNA
Source: RNAcentral
UACGUAGGGGGCAAACGUUGUCCGGAAUUAUUGGGCGUAAAGAGCGUGUAGGCGGCCAGAUAAGUCCGCUGUGAAAUCUCGAGGCUCAACUUCGAGCUGUCGGUGGAAACUAUCUGGCUAGAGUCCGGAAGAGGAGAAUGGAAUUCCUGGUGUAGCGGUGAAAUGCGCAGAUAUCAGGAAGAACACCCGUGGCGAAGGCGGUUCUCUGGGACGGUACUGACGCUGAGACGCGAAAGCGUGGGGAGCGAACAGG